This 76-nucleotide transfer RNA is filed under the name Pseudomonadota bacterium. RNAcentral describes it as "tRNA-Thr". It matches the Rfam family "tRNA". From Rfam's summary of the family: Transfer RNA (tRNA) molecules are approximately 80 nucleotides in length. Their secondary structure includes four short double-helical elements and three loops (D, anti-codon, and T loops). Further hydrogen bonds mediate the characteristic L-shaped molecular structure. tRNAs have two regions of fundamental functional importance: the anti-codon, which is responsible for specific mRNA codon recognition, and the 3' end, to which the tRNAs corresponding amino acid is attached (by aminoacyl-tRNA synthetases). tRNAs cope with the degeneracy of the genetic code in two manners: having more than one tRNA (with a specific anti-codon) for a particular amino acid; and 'wobble' base-pairing, i.e. permitting non-standard base-pairing at the 3rd anti-codon position. The record is from RNAcentral. Lineage: Bacteria; Pseudomonadati; Pseudomonadota. RNAcentral also lists the same sequence under 2 other names.
GCCGGUGUAGCUCAGCUGGUAGAGCAGCGCAUUCGUAAUGCGAAGGUCGGGAGUUCGAAUCUCUUCACCGGCACCA